AGUGAACGCUGGCGGCAGGCCUAAUACAUGCAAGUCGAACGGCAGCACAGUGGAGCUUGCUCCAUGGGUGGCGAGUGGCGGACGGGCGAGGAAUACAUGGGAAUCUGCCCAGUCGUGGGGGAUAACGUAGGGAAACUUACGCUAAUACCGCAUGCGCCCUUCGGGGGAAAGCCGGGGACCUUCGGGCCUGGCGCGAUUGGAUGAGCCCAUGUUCGAUUAGCUAGUUGGCGGGGUAAAGGCCCACCAAGGCGACGAUCGAUAGCUGGUCUGAGAGGAUGAUCAGCCACACUGGGACUGAGACACGGCCCAGACUCCUACGGGAGGCAGCAGUAGGGAAUAUUGGACAAUGGGCGCAAGCCUGAUCCAGCCAUGCCGCGUGAGUGAAGAAGGCCCUCGGGUUGUAAAGCUCUUUUGUCCGGGAAGAAAAGCAUCGGGCUAAUACCUCGGUGUUCUGACGGUACCGGAAGAAUAAGCACCGGCUAACUUCGUG
Molecule: ribosomal RNA, 490 nt
Filed under: uncultured bacterium
Lineage: Bacteria
Description: partial 16S ribosomal RNA
Rfam family: Bacterial small subunit ribosomal RNA
Source: RNAcentral